UCGACUGCUUCAUUCACGUCACGCAUCACGCGUGGAUUUCGUUGAUUGACAUGACGUUAGUGCAGGUUUGCGUUAGUGCUAGUCCGUCGUUCUUGUCUUUUCUUUAACGUAUAUACGAUUAUACGUUAGUUAGUCAUUACAGGGUACACUUUUUCCUGACAUUUUUCGUCAUAAGGUAACAUAGCGUACAAUUUAUACUUUGCAAUUCCAUCUGACCAUGUGGCCUGGAAGGCUGUAACUGCUGUACAAUUUUCCAAAAUGUCGUCUCUUGCUGCAUUCACCGGCUUUACGUUUCCUUUUAUGCAGAAAUACUUUAGAACAGUAAAAGCAGCCUGGUGAAGUCUGAGCUUCUUCAUUGCAGUCCAAUAUGCACAUGGAUUUGUUGCAGUUAGCUGGCGAAAGGUGUUCCUCUUGCGGUUGCAGGCUUGCUACCUGUACCAGUUGUAACUUUCAUCACAUGCAGAAAAAGAACAAUUUAAAUUGUGGAAAUUGAACCUUGGAAAAGCUUGCCAACUUUAGGUUCCUUUGCAACAUUUAUUCUGAAGGAUUUUGUAGUUUAACUCAACUUCGAUCAUUUUUGUUUUGUCAUUUGAGAAAUUGUUGCUUGAUAGUAAUUGAGUUUUUUUUUUAAUUGGAUUAACACCAUGGUGGAAUUUGAGCUUCUUUGUUGCUGCCCAAAUUACACAUGGAUUUGAUGCAGCCAGCUGAUAUAGGGUGUUCCUCUUGCUACGUGUACCUGUCAUUUUCUUCUUCAUUCAAGUCUAAUUCACAUGUAGAUUACUUCAGCCAGACUGUUGAAUUUGACAUGGUUGAUCGUUUAUAUUCGCGUAGUUGCUGUCCGAUGUGGCACGUUGUUGCAGCCUAUGCUGCUGAAAGAUCUUUCUACAUACACAAGUUCAAUUGGCCGUUCCUUGGUGCUGGUUUCGUGUUACCGAAAUUGCAUCAUUAUUUUGUUAAAUUGUCAUCGAGACUAUGCAGUUUAUCAUCGUUAAAAGUUAAGAAGCAGUAAAAACAAGUUUGGGAUGUUUUUGUCAAACAAAAAAUAAACAUGUUUUCGGGGUUGGGAAAGAAAAGUGGAGGAUGUUGGAGAUGGAGGAGGAUAUCUCAAGUUUAGAUAAAAAAUCAGUUAAUCUAUAACCCUACAAACAUAUCCCUACCAACUAAUUUGCAAACCCCACAAACUUAUACCUUCCCAUUCUUCAAACCCCACACCUACCAACCUCUAAAUUUAUACCCUAAACCCCAUAAACCAAUGUAAUACCUUAACAAUGCAAUGUAUUUAAUAAAUAAAAAUAAAUAUA
Molecule: long non-coding RNA, 1301 nt
Organism: Daphnia pulicaria
Lineage: Eukaryota; Metazoa; Arthropoda; Branchiopoda; Diplostraca; Daphniidae
Exons: 5
Source: RefSeq, a predicted model, not a curated record